This 180-nucleotide ribosomal RNA is filed under the name Pithecellobium diversifolium. RNAcentral describes it as "5.8S ribosomal RNA". The stretch from base 1 to 156 matches the Rfam family "5.8S ribosomal RNA". From Rfam's summary of the family: 5.8S ribosomal RNA (5.8S rRNA) is a component of the large subunit of the eukaryotic ribosome. It is transcribed by RNA polymerase I as part of the 45S precursor that also contains 18S and 28S rRNA. Functionally, it is thought that 5.8S rRNA may be involved in ribosome translocation. Lineage: Eukaryota; Viridiplantae; Streptophyta; Magnoliopsida; Fabales; Fabaceae. The record is from RNAcentral.
GACUCUCGGCAACGGAUAUCUCGGCUCUCGCAUCGAUGAAGAACGUAGCGAAAUGCGAUACUUGGUGUGAAUUGCAGAAUCCCGUGAACCAUCGAGUCUUUGAACGCAAGUUGCGCCCGAAGCCACUAGGCCGAGGGCACGUCUGCCUGGGUGUCACGCAACGUCGCCAGCGCCCAAGAU